This 253-nucleotide ribosomal RNA is filed under the name uncultured bacterium. RNAcentral describes it as "partial 16S ribosomal RNA". It matches the Rfam family "Bacterial small subunit ribosomal RNA", at positions 524 to 776 of the family's 1533-position model. The record is from RNAcentral.
UACAGAGGUCUCAAGCGUUGUUCGGAUUCAUUGGGCGUAAAGGGUGCGUAGGUGGCGGGGUAAGUCAGGUGUGAAAUCUCGGGGCUCAACCCCGAAACUGCACUUGAUACUGCCUUGCUCGAGUACUGGAGAGGAGAUUGGAAUUUACGGUGUAGCAGUGAAAUGCGUAGAUAUCGUAAGGAAGACCAGUGGCGAAGGCGAAUCUCUGGACAGUUACUGACACUGAGACGCGAAAGCGUGGGGAGCGAACAGG